AAGUCGUAACAAGGUUUCCGUAGGUGAACCUGCGGAAGGAUCAUUAUUGAGACAGGGUCCUCACGGGCCCGACCUCCAAUCAUUUGUUUAAACUACUUUGUUGCUUUGGCAGGCCCGCCCCUCCCAGUGGGGGGCCGCUGGGGACGUCGAGUCGUCUUUGGUCAGCGCCUGCCGGUAGCCAAUUUAAAUUCUUUAUAACCAUGUCGUCUGAGUCUCAAUUAAUAAUUUAAUUAAAA
This 236-nucleotide unclassified non-coding RNA is filed under the name plant metagenome. Its description in RNAcentral is "partial contains small subunit ribosomal RNA and internal transcribed spacer 1". The stretch from base 1 to 46 matches the Rfam family "Eukaryotic small subunit ribosomal RNA", at positions 1786 to 1831 of the family's 1831-position model. The record is from RNAcentral.